UCCAGACUCCUACGGGAGGCAGCAGUGGGGAAUAUUGCACAAUGGGGGAAACCCUGAUGCAGCGAUGCCGCGUGGAGGAAGAAGGUUUUCGGAUUGUAAACUCCUUUUAUCAGGGACGAUAAUGACGGUACCUGAAGAAAAAGCAUCGGCUAACUCCGUGCCAGCAGCCGCGGUAAUACGGAGGAUGCGAGCGUUAUCCGGAUUUAUUGGGUUUAAAGGGUGCGCAGGCGGAAGAUCAAGUCAGCGGUAAAAUUGAGAGGCUCACCCUCUUCGAGCCGUUGAAACUGGUUUUCUUGAGUGAGCGAGAAGUAUGCGGAAUGCGUGGUGUAGCGGUGAAAUGCAUAGAUAUCGCGCAGAACUCCGAUUGCGAAGGCAGCGUACCGGCGCCAGACUGACGCUGAGGCACGAAAGCGUGGGGAUCGAACAGGAUUAGAUACCCCCGUAA
This 445-nucleotide ribosomal RNA is filed under the name uncultured bacterium. RNAcentral describes it as "bacterial SSU rRNA". It matches the Rfam family "Bacterial small subunit ribosomal RNA", at positions 330 to 793 of the family's 1533-position model. The record is from RNAcentral.